GUCAGAGGGGGCAAGUGUUAUUCUGCUUGAAUAGGCGUAAAGGGUGUGUAGGCUGGUAAGUUGGCGGGCGAAAAAGGCUGUGACAGGUAAAUUGCAGUUGGUGCCCGAACUAAUUACCUUGUAUUGCGGAGAAGUCGGGGGAAUUUUGUGUUUAGAAUAAUUAUGCGCUGGAAACACAUAGGAAUGCCGGAGAUGAAGAUGCCUGGCUGUACGCAAUAGACGCUGAGAUGCGAAGGUUCGGGGAGCAAAUGGG
This 253-nucleotide ribosomal RNA is filed under the name uncultured bacterium. RNAcentral's name for it is "partial 16S ribosomal RNA". It matches the Rfam family "Bacterial small subunit ribosomal RNA", at positions 524 to 776 of the family's 1533-position model. The record is from RNAcentral.